UCUUGGGCUGGGGAUGGCUUAGUGGUAGAGCGCUUGCCUGGCAAGCACAAGGCCCUGGGUUCGAUCCUCAGCUCAAAAA
Non-coding RNA from Onychomys torridus (southern grasshopper mouse), 79 nucleotides. Lineage: Eukaryota; Metazoa; Chordata; Mammalia; Rodentia; Cricetidae. The record is from the annotation of a RefSeq genome assembly.